CGGGAGGAGCCCCUGGAUCGUCCCCAUGGAGACACCGCUGGGGUCCCCAACCCCCAUCCCCAGAUCCGGCGGAAUCCCAAAAUUCCAGAGAGCCAAAAUUCGGGAGCCAAACGCUUUAUUUAAAAACAGGUCUCUGUACAGAGGGAAAUUCCAGGUGGGAAUUUCGGGAAUUGGAUCCCGUUAUCCACCGGGAAGCAGCAGAGAGGGACGGGGGUGGAGGGCUGGGAAUGGAUCCCAUCCCGAAUUCCCUUUUCCCACUUUUUUUGUCCCCGAGGAUGGAGGUGAUGGAAGACUUUUCCCAUGGAUUGGGAUCCCCCGGGGUAUUGCUGAGAGGAGCCGGGAAUUCCUGGGAAUUUUGGGAAUUCUUGGGAAUUCUGGGAUUCAGAGGAGGCGGACGAGGCGUCCCAGGGUUUCGGCCACCUUGACCCUCACGGCAGGAACCGGAUCCUUGAGCAGCAGCUGCAGGGCUGGAACGGCAGAGACCGGAUUGGGAUCGGGAUUGGGAUUGGAUUGGGAUUGGAUUGGGAUUGGAUUGGGAUUGGGAUUGGAUUGGGACUGGAUUGGGAUUGGAUUGGAAUUAGAUUGGGAUCGGGAUUGGAUUGGGAUCGGGAUUGGAUUGGGAUCAGGAUUGGGAUUGGAUUGGAUUGGAUUGGAUUGGUAUUGGAGUCAGGAUCAGAAUCAGGAUCAGGAUCAGGAACGGGAUUGGGAUCGGGAUUGGGAUUCGAGUUGGGAUUGGGGUUGGGAUUGGGAUCAGGAUUGGGAUCCCCCAGCCCUGGACAUUGAAAACUCCGGGGAUUCCCAGGAAUUCCCACCCCAUUCCCGCGCCAUUCCCACGCUGUUCCCGCUGGAUUCCUGCUUUAUUCCCAUCACAUUCCCGCUUUUUUGGUGCUGCAUUCCCACUCCUUUCCCCACCACAUUCCCACCGGAUUCCCACUGGAAUUCCUCUGCAUUCCCCCCAGAUCAAUUCCCGGAGCCACUCCAGGAUUUGGGAAUGGGGCUGGGAGAGAUUUGCUCAGGAAAAUCCCACGGAAUUCCAAAUUCCCAACACUCCCAGGAAAUUCCAAUGCUCCCAUCCCGGAAUUCCCAAUCCUGAAAAAUUUGCUGGAUCUGGGAAUUUUUAUGGAUUUUUUUUUCCCCAAAAAAUGAGGAUUUUAUUCCCAUCGUUAUCGAGGACUUGAGGACCGACAGGGAAAAAUUUUUCCCUGUUUUUCCUGGGAUUUUGGUUUUUUUUGGGUUUUUUUUGGUGGGAAGAGCAAAAAAAUUGGAAUGAAAUUUAAAUGAAAGGCUUGGGAUGGGCCUAAAAAAUAAAUAUGAAAGACUCAGGAUGAUUCCA
Molecule: long non-coding RNA, 1333 nt
Filed under: Junco hyemalis (dark-eyed junco)
Lineage: Eukaryota; Metazoa; Chordata; Aves; Passeriformes; Passerellidae
Description: lncRNA (ENSJHYG00000002601.1)
Source: RNAcentral